GACGAACGCUGGCGGCGUGCUUAACACAUGCAAGUCGAACGGAAAGGCCCUGCUUUUGUGGGGUGCUCGAGUGGCGAACGGGUGAGUAACACGUGAGUAACCUGCCCUUGACUUUGGGAUAACUUCAGGAAACUGGGGCUAAUACCGGAUAGGAGCUCCUGCUGCAUGGUGGGGGUUGGAAAGUUUCGGCGGUUGGGGAUGGACUCGCGGCUUAUCAGCUUGUUGGUGGGGUAGUGGCUUACCAAGGCUUUGACGGGUAGCCGGCCUGAGAGGGUGACCGGCCACAAUAGGACUGAGAUACGGCCCAGACGCCUACGGGAGGCAGCAGUGGGGAAUAUUGCACAAUGGGCGGAAGCCUGAUGCAGCAACGCCGCGUGCGGGAUGACGGCCUUCGGGUUGUAAACCGCUUUCGCCUGUGACGAAGCGUGAGUGACGGUAAUGGGUAAAGAAGCACCGGCUAACUACGUG
RNAcentral lists this ribosomal RNA (468 nucleotides) under uncultured bacterium. RNAcentral describes it as "partial 16S ribosomal RNA". It matches the Rfam family "Bacterial small subunit ribosomal RNA", at positions 28 to 507 of the family's 1533-position model. The record is from RNAcentral.